RNAcentral lists this unclassified non-coding RNA (220 nucleotides) under Hevea brasiliensis (rubber tree). The record is from RNAcentral. Lineage: Eukaryota; Viridiplantae; Streptophyta; Magnoliopsida; Malpighiales; Euphorbiaceae.
GUUGGCUUAUUGGAUCAUCUACUCCUUUCUCACUCUCAUGGAGAUGGUUCUUCAACCUCUAUUAGAGUGGAUACCAAUUUGGUAUUCGGUGAAAUUGGUAUUUGUGGCGUGGUUGGUUCUGCCACAGUUCAAAGGUGCAGCUUUCUUGUAUGAAAGAUUCGUGAGGCAUCAUAUUAAGAAAUAUGGUGUAGGAAGUAAUUCUGCUGAUGCCAAAGCCAAG